Molecule: long non-coding RNA, 3120 nt
Organism: Cavia porcellus (domestic guinea pig)
Lineage: Eukaryota; Metazoa; Chordata; Mammalia; Rodentia; Caviidae
Exons: 3
Source: RefSeq, a predicted model, not a curated record
UUUCUGACUGAUUAUGGGAUUAUAGGGUAUAUUUGAAAUUUGGUGGUGCUGGCACUGACACUGAUAUCAUGUAAGAAGCUGAUUGGAAUUUUCUUUUGGCCCCUGGGAAAGGAAUGAGGAAGUUGUAUUCAGGGGAAAAAGAGGAAGUAGCCAUAUAGGAAAAUGGCACUGAUAUUUUGACAGGAAUGGCACUGAAACACCUGGUUGCUCUGGGUAGCAUGUACAUUAUAACAUGGAUUCUUCCCAUCCCUCAUCACAGUAUGGCUUUUCUUCUGUUAGUGCUCUUCUACUUAUUGCAUUCCAAGAAGAGAACUCCUCCUGCAUGGUCUGUACCAGCAUCUAGAGAGGGCUAGGACCCAGAAAAACUGCCUUGAGGUGAACAAUGUCUGUUGUGCUGCCAAUGAUGAUUUUGUGGCCUCCAAAGAACAUCAAAACUCAAAGGGGCAGUGGCUGCACCUGUUCUGCUUACAGGACCAUGGACAAUAUCCAGAAAAGUGUCUUCACACAGGGUAUCCUCAUGUGUAUUGGUGACUUGAUGACAGCCACCCACUUUCCAAUGAUACCUGUGGGCCAUGAACACUUUUCCAUCCCCAAGAAUUCCUGCCCUGAGCAUACCACAAACCCUCUAGAGUGACUCUCCAAUCUCCUUUCCAAUGAACAGAACAGCUUUCACCAAGUGUGGAUCAGUGAGGGGUGUGGAAGGUCAUCCCUGGGAAUCAUCAUAGCCUCUGCAGUGGGCUAAGGCCACAGCUAUCCCCUUCUCAUGGAGCCCCCAUUUUCUCCUCAGUGACCUGCACUCUGGAUCCAUUCAGCACCCCACCAUUCAGUGUUGUAAACCGAGGCUGAGUUGUUUGCACAUGGCCACGACUUGAAUGCACAAGUGGCCAAGUUCCACAGGGCUGCUCAUGUAAGAACUUUCCUUCCCCAUAUCUGAACUUGUCCUGGACUCAGUGUCUCUAAGUGGCUGGUGGUUGAGCCUAAGGACACCUCUCCUGGGCUUCUUCUUGUCUCUGGGAGCCUCUGGCCAGGGGCUGGUGAGUCCUGGCCUGAGAUGCCCAUGAUGUGUGGGUGUUUCCAGCUGAGCUUGUUGAUGCCUCUGGACCAAGUGAACCACCCUUUCAUACUUUCCCACGUGGUUCAAUGACACGGGGUCUUGAUGCUAGGGCUGUGUGGCCUGGGAAAGCAGCACAGCAUGUUCUCUAUUUCCUCUCUCAAGCCUACGGUAUAUGAAGGCCAACUAUCACCAGACUAAGGUGCCUGGUGACCAGAGCCUUCAGAGUUCUGUUUUGACUUGUUGCCAAGGAAGUGAGUUCAUGUGCUGUGGUACACAGUUGAUACUCCCCGUCUGAUGCCUCCUUUCUUUUUAUUUGUCCUCCUUAUAAAGAGCAAGUUAAAAAACUAGAAAAAUAUGUGCGUUUUUAGAUUUUCUGCACUUUGAAGAUUUUAAUGAAAUAAACACGUAGAUGCUUCAAAAGUGGCAGGCAGGGUGCCAAACACACUUUUCCAUCCAAAAGAUCCUUUCCCUUGAAGAUGAGGUGCACAGUGUCAUCACUGAGAGAUUUCACCAAUUUUAUUUUGAUUGUCUUUUCUGGGCUUAUGUUAGUUUCAUUUCAAUUUCAUUAAGGAGCAUAGAGAUGUUCCCAGAAGACCCAUUAUAAUUUUCCUUGAAGGAUAUGAAAUGUUUCAUGUUAUAAGACCCAUGUGUCCAGGGGAGGAGGAUUCAUAGCAUGUUUUCCUCUCAUGUGCCUAUGAAUGAUCACUUUUCAUCCUUAGAUGUUUUCCUCAGCCACACACUAUAGUGCUCUGUACUCUGACAUCAUGUGAGAAGGGAAAGCAGGUGGUGAGUGCAAGGGGAGGCUUUGCAAGGCUGUGGACAUCAUCACCUCAUGAUGAUGAAGGACACAUGGGCAUCACCACUGGGGAACUUGUCUCCUAGCCACUGCUUUCACUUCCUGUCCUCCCAUCCCAAACAGACCAUGGGCUUUGUGUCCCUGCUGGGUAGUUUGCCUUUCCUAGAGGUGAAGGCACUGAGCCUGUUUAGUUUAGAUGCUCUUGGUUGGUCUCCUUCAAGCAACAUCUCUGUGCUGGGCUUCAUCUGUGCUGCUCCUUAUUGGUGUUGGUGCUACCACACACUCUCAUGUGGCUGAACCAAACAAGUGUGACUUCUUCAUGCAUCUCUCACGCAUCUGCUGAUCCCAUUUGUUCUGUUUCCAGGUUGGUCCUUGAAUGCCAGCUGCCACAGAUCUUCUCAUACAUGGUCUUGAGUGGACUUUUCUUUCAAAGAAAAAUACUUAGAUGUGAAAUUGCCAGAUUAUUUGGCUUGUGUAUGGUUAACUUGCAAACUGUUAAGGUACCCUUGGAAGCAUUUUUAAUAAUCAGAGUUAGGUGGUUGUUUCCUUUUUUGUAUUGGGGAUUGAACUUAGGACCUCAUGUUUGCCGAGUGGGUACUUAUACUGCAGAAUUAAAGCUCCAUCCCUGUUUUCUUAUUUUGUUUUGCUUUGUUUUGUUGUGUUCUUUUAUACUAUACUAUAUUAUGUUAUGUUAUGUUAUGUUAUGUUACACUAUGUUUUGUGUUCAUGAGGACUUUGAAUCUCCUUCAGUGUAUUUUCAGUGCUUUCUGAUUUCAUUUUGUGUAACUCACAUGAUAAAAUAUGAGAAUAUCACAUAAUUCUGGGUAAUUGUAUUUUGGAGAAAAUUUAAAAAGGAAAUGAGAGCCAGGUUUGGUAGUAAAAGUCUGAAAUGCCAGAUGUUACAAGGCUGAGGCAGCAAGAUUGCUGUGACUUGAGGUCGGCCUGAGCUACAACGUGAGUUAAAGGCAGUUUGAACUUCAUUGCACAACCCUGUCUCAAAAAUACAUAAAUCAAUCAAAAUAAAAAUACAUUUAAAAAGGUUUUAAAAGAGACAAAAAUCAUCUAUAAAUGGACAAAUCUAAUCUUUGUGAAUUUUUCUUACAUAUGUACUUUAGUCAGCACAAUGAGUAUUAGGUUUACCAUCAAGUAGACAUUGAUCUUCUGCCAAGAAGUUGAACUGUUUCAAUUUUUUGACCUUUUAAAUGAAAUGAAUAUAGAUAUGCUACUGAAUAUACCUGCUCAGGAUUUGGAGAGCUUGGUAUGAAGAGAA